CCUACGGGAGGCAGCAGUGAGGAAUAUUGGUCAAUGGUCGGGAGACUGAACCAGCCAAGCCGCGUGAGGGAUGAAGGUCCAGAGUAUCGUAAACCUCUUUUGUCAGGGAACAAAGGCGGGGACGUGUCCCCGGCUGAGUGUACCUGACGAAAAAGCAUCGGCUAACUCCGUGCCAGCAGCCGCGGUAAUCCGGAGGAUGCGGGCGUUAUCCGGUUUUAUUGGGUUUAAAGGGUGUGCCGGCGGUCUGUUAAGUCAGCGGUCAAAGCCCGGGGCUCAACCCCGGCCCGCCGUUGAAACUGGCAGUCUCGAGUGGGAGAGAAGUAGGCGGAAUGCGCGGUGUAGCGGUGAAAUGCAUAGAUAUCGCGCAGAACUCCGAUUGCGAAGGCAGCAUGCCGGCUCCACACUGACGCUGAGGCACGAAAGCGUGGGUAUCGAACAGGAUUAGAUACCCUUGUAGUC
This 459-nucleotide ribosomal RNA is filed under the name uncultured bacterium. RNAcentral describes it as "partial 16S ribosomal RNA". It matches the Rfam family "Bacterial small subunit ribosomal RNA", at positions 338 to 795 of the family's 1533-position model. The record is from RNAcentral.